GAUGAAGAACGCAGCGAAAUGCGAUAAGUAAUGUGAAUUGCAGAAUUCAGUGAAUCAUCGAAUCUUUGAACGCACAUUGCGCCCGCUAGUAUUCUGGCGGGCAUGCCUGUUCGAGCAUCAUUUCAACCAUCAAGCCCUGCUUGUGUUGGGGUCCUGCGGCUGCCCGCAGGCCCUGAAAACCAGUGGCGGGCUCGCUAGUCACACCGAGCGCAGUAGCACAUCUCGCUCAGGGCGUGCGGCGGGUUCUUGCCGUAAAACACCCCCUUUUUACCAAGGUUGACCUCGGAUCAGGUAGGAAUACCCGCUGAACUUAAGCAUAUCAAUAAGCGGAGGA
This 334-nucleotide unclassified non-coding RNA is filed under the name soil metagenome. RNAcentral's name for it is "partial contains 5.8S ribosomal RNA, internal transcribed spacer 2, and large subunit ribosomal RNA". The stretch from base 1 to 120 matches the Rfam family "5.8S ribosomal RNA", at positions 35 to 154 of the family's 154-position model. The record is from RNAcentral.